Molecule: ribosomal RNA, 447 nt
Filed under: uncultured bacterium
Lineage: Bacteria
Description: bacterial SSU rRNA
Rfam family: Bacterial small subunit ribosomal RNA
Source: RNAcentral
UGACCAGACUCCUACGGGAGGCAGCAGUGGGGAAUAUUGCACAAUGGGCGAAAGCCUGAUGCAGCGACGCCGCGUGAGUGAAGAAGUCUUUCGGUAUGUAAAGCUCUAUCAGCAGGGAAGAAAAUGACGGUACCUGAUUAAGAAGCCCCGGCUAACUACGUGCCAGCAGCCGUGGUAAUACGUAGGGGGCAAGCGUUAUCCGGAUUUACUGGGUGUAAAGGGAGCGUAGACGGCAGCACAAGUCUGGAGUGAAAUGCCGGGGCUUAACCCCGGAACUGCUUUGGAAACUGUGCAGCUAGAGUGCAGGAGAGGUAAGUGGAAUUCCUAGUGUAGCGGUGAAAUGCGUAGAUAUUAGGAGGAACACCAGUGGCGAAGGCGGCUUACUGGACUGUAACUGACGUUGAGGCUCGAAAGCGUGGGGAGCAAACAGGAUUAGAUACCCCUGUA